CCUACGGGUGGCAGCAGUGGGGAAUAUUGCGCAAUGGGCGAAAGCCUGACGCAGCGACGCCGCGUGCGGGAUGAAGGUCUUCGGAUCGUAAACCUCUGUCUGCAGGGAAGAACGGUCACUGUGCUAAUCAGCAGUGAAUUGACGGUACCUGCAAAGGAAGCACCGGCUAACUCCGUGCCAGCAGCCGCGGUAAUACGGAGGGUGCAAGCGUUAAUCGGAAUUACUGGGCGGAAAGCGUUCGUAGGCGGUAUGUCAAGUCAAAGGUGAAAUCCCCGCGCUCAACGUGGGAACUGCCUUUGAUACUGGUCAACUGGAGAGUGUGAGAGGAUGGCGGAAUUCAAGGUGUAGGAGUGAAAUGCGUAGAUAUC
This 368-nucleotide ribosomal RNA is filed under the name uncultured bacterium. RNAcentral describes it as "partial 16S ribosomal RNA". It matches the Rfam family "Bacterial small subunit ribosomal RNA", at positions 338 to 698 of the family's 1533-position model. The record is from RNAcentral.